AAUACUUAGGAAUCUGCCCAUUAAUGGGGGACAACAGUUGGAAACGACUGCUAAUACCGCAUACGCCCUACGGGGGAAAGCAGGGGAUCUUCGGACCUUGCGUUAAUGGAUGAGCCUAAGUCGGAUUAGCUAGUUGGUGGGGUAAAGGCCUACCAAGGCGACGAUCUGUAGCGGGUCUGAGAGGAUGAUCCGCCACACUGGGACUGAGACACGGCCCAGACUCCUACGGGAGGCAGCAGUGGGGAAUAUUGGACAAUGGGGGGAACCCUGAUCCAGCCAUGCCGCGUGUGUGAAGAAGGCCUUUUGGUUGUAAAGCACUUUAAGCGAGGAGGAGGCUACUAGUAUUAAUACUACUGGAUAGUGGACGUUACUCGCAGAAUAAGCACCGGCUAACUCUGUGCCAGCAGCCGCGGUAAUACAGAGGGUGCGAGCGCUAAUCGGAUUUACUGGGCGUAAAGCGUGCGUAGGUGGCCAAUUAAGUCAAAUGUGAAAUCCCCGAGCUUAACUUGGGAAUUGCAUUCGAUACUGGUUGGCUAGAGUAUGGGAGAGGAUGGUAGAAUUCCAGGUGUAGCGGUGAAAUGCGUAGAGAUCUGGAGG
RNAcentral lists this ribosomal RNA (597 nucleotides) under uncultured bacterium. Its description in RNAcentral is "bacterial SSU rRNA". It matches the Rfam family "Bacterial small subunit ribosomal RNA", at positions 112 to 704 of the family's 1533-position model. The record is from RNAcentral.